UUUUUUAAAUAACAAGGACAUUCAUUGGCAUUUUUUUACUAGAAAAUUUCAGACUUUAUUUUUAUGAAUGAUGUCUUUAUAAAUCAGUUAAAAUGACUAUAAUUAAAAGUGUAUCUUAAUAAUGAUGUUGUUAUUUCACUUGGCGGUUGAAUUGUAAGUGAUUUCAGACUAUUCAACUUUGUAAUUAUGUUUUUAUGAGUUUAUCUUUUACGAGUUUUAUGAUUUUACUAUGUAAUUAUGUUUUUAUGAGUUUUUCGUGGUUUAAAAACUGUAUACAAAGAGUUCUUGUUUUUAUUUGCAAUCAUAUAAAUGCCAAUUCUAAUAAUUAUAUUAAAUUAACUAUGACUACUUCAAAAAACACAACUCUCUAUGGAAACAAAGUUAUCAACAUAUUUAGGCAGAAGUAAGGAUCUUAUUCCGUCAGAAGUGCCAACUUUAAGAGAUAUUUUGAGAAAAGGUCUGCUUAUCCAAGAAGCUCUACUUCAAGAAGAUGUUAACAGAAGGAAUAUUUGAUUGAGAGACUUUUCUCGACUACUAGCUGAUAUCGUUUUUCAGCAGUAGAUGAAAGCAAAUGCUCUUUUUAAACCUCCAGUGGUUAUUGGAAAGAACUUUGAUGGAAAAAAUUGAGUUUUCCUGGAACAAGAUCAAAGAUAUAGCACAUGGGAAAGUUUCUCAGACACACGUGUCUUUUUGGGAAUCAAAACUGGAUGAAUUUCUAGAUAUAACAUGUGCAAGUGUGAAAUUAUGUUAUGUAACGAGGAAAACUUUGCCCAAGCUUUAAUCAAAAAAAAAUUUUAGUAACCUUUUCAUAUCAAAAUCGUAAACCAAAACAUUUUUAUGACAAUAUUAUAACUUAAAUUUGUUUUGUAUUAAAUAUUGUAAAGCUAAACGAUGUUGUUAAGUUGAACUAUAAAAACUUCAUUCCAACAAAUAAAGUCUGAAAAUUUAUUAUGAAAAAAAUUCCAAUUUUUAUAUAUUUUUUCAAUCUUAUAAGGCCUUUUUCCCUGCGAAAAUUUAUUUUUUUUUAGAAAAAAAAAUUAUUUACAUU
Molecule: non-coding RNA, 1048 nt
Organism: Hydra vulgaris (swiftwater hydra)
Lineage: Eukaryota; Metazoa; Cnidaria; Hydrozoa; Anthoathecata; Hydridae
Source: RefSeq, a predicted model, not a curated record